This 500-nucleotide ribosomal RNA is filed under the name uncultured bacterium. RNAcentral describes it as "partial 16S ribosomal RNA". It matches the Rfam family "Bacterial small subunit ribosomal RNA", at positions 30 to 523 of the family's 1533-position model. The record is from RNAcentral.
AUUGAACGCUGGCGGAAUGCUUUACACAUGCAAGUCGAACGGCAGCACGGACUUCGGUCUGGUGGCGAGUGGCGAACGGGUGAGUAAUAUAUCGGAACGUGCCCAGUCGUGGGGGAUAACGUAGCGAAAGCUACGCUAAUACCGCAUACGAUCUACGGAUGAAAGCGGGGGAUCGCAAGACCUCGCGCGAUUGGAGCGGCCGAUAUCAGAUUAGGUAGUUGGUGAGGUAAAGGCUCACCAAGCCGACGAUCUGUAGCUGGUCUGAGGGGACGACCAGCCACACUGGGACUGAGACACGGCCCAGACUCCUACGGGAGGCAGCAGUGGGGAAUUUUGGACAAUGGACGCAAGUCUGAUCCAGCCAUUCCGCGUGCAGGACGAAGGCCUUCGGGUUGUAAACUGCUUUUGUACAGAACGAAAAGGUCUCUAUUAAUACUAGGGGCUCAUGACGGUACUGUAGGAAUAAGCACCGGCUAAUUACGUGCCAGCCGCCGCGGUAA